GAUGAACGCUGGCGGCGUGCCUAAUACAUGCAAGUCGAGCGAACAGAUGAGGAGCUUGCUCCUCAGACGUUAGCGGCGGACGGGUGAGUAACACGUGGAUAACCUACCUAUAAGACUGGGAUAACUUCGGGAAACCGGAGCUAAUACCGGAUAAUAUAUUGAACCGCAUGGUUCAAUAGUGAAAGACGGUUUUGCUGUCACUUAUAGAUGGAUCCGCGCCGCAUUAGCUAGUUGGUAAGGUAACGGCUUACCAAGGCAACGAUGCGAAGCCGACCUGAGAGGGUGAUCGGCCACACUGGAACUGAGACACGGUCCAGACUCCUACGGGAGGCAGCAGUAGGGAAUCUUCCGCAAUGGGCGAAAGCCUGACGGAGCAACGCCGCGUGAGUGAUGAAGGUCUUCGGAUCGUAAAACUCUGUUAUUAGGGAAGAACAAAUGUGUAAGUAACUAUGCACGUCUUGACGGUACCUAAUCAGAAAGCCACGGCUAACUACGUG
This 497-nucleotide ribosomal RNA is filed under the name uncultured bacterium. Its description in RNAcentral is "partial 16S ribosomal RNA". It matches the Rfam family "Bacterial small subunit ribosomal RNA", at positions 28 to 507 of the family's 1533-position model. The record is from RNAcentral.